RNAcentral lists this ribosomal RNA (497 nucleotides) under uncultured bacterium. RNAcentral's name for it is "partial 16S ribosomal RNA". It matches the Rfam family "Bacterial small subunit ribosomal RNA", at positions 28 to 507 of the family's 1533-position model. The record is from RNAcentral.
GAUGAACGCUGGCGGCGUGCCUAAUACAUGCAAGUCGAGCGAACGGACGAGAAGCUUGCUUUUCUGAUGUUAGCGGCGGACGGGUGAGUAACACGUGGAUAACCUACCUAUAGGACUGGGAUAACUUCGGGAAACCGGAGCUAAUACCGGAUAAUAUUUUGAACCGCAUGGUUCAAAAGUGAAAGACGGUCUUGCUGUCACUUAUAGAUGGAUCCGCGCUGCAUUAGCUAGUUGGUAAGGUAACGGCUUACCAAGGCAACGAUGCAUAGCCGACCUGAGAGGGUGAUCGGCCACACUGGAACUGAGACACGGUCCAGACUCCUACGGGAGGCAGCAGUAGGGAAUCUUCCGCAAUGGGCGAAAGCCUGACGGAGCAACGCCGCGUGAGUGAUGAAGGUCUUCGGAUCGUAAAACUCUGUUAUUAGGGAAGAACAUAUGUGUAAGUAACUGUGCACAUCUUGACGGUACCUAAUCAGAAAGCCACGGCUAACUACGUG